Mauremys reevesii (Reeves's turtle) is the source of this 602-nucleotide long non-coding RNA. RefSeq lists it as uncharacterized. The transcript is spliced from 2 exons. NCBI's taxonomy places the organism in Eukaryota, Metazoa, Chordata, Testudines, Geoemydidae. The record is from RefSeq and is a predicted model, not a curated record.
GCAAAGCGAUGCGCGUGAGCGAGGGGGCCACGCCCCCCGGUCGCUUCCGCCUUGCGCUGGUAGCCGGAAGCAGGAGCUGCCGAGGAGGGGAGCGAUGGAGGCAGAGGGGCGGGAGCCGCGGCAGCGCGGCCGGGAGCCGGCGCCGGCCCCAGCGAAUGGCGACUGCAGCCGCCCCCUGUCGCUCUCCGGACAGUCCUACUGGCUCGACGUGUGGCUCUUCGUCCUCUUCGACCUGGCGCUGCUCGUCUUCGUCUAUCUGCUGCCCUGAGCCCGCGGUGACAGCUCCUAGUCAAGAUGAGGAACCUUAUUUAUGAAAACAUACUUCGGAAGAAUAUACAUGCAACAGGACAACUGGAAAAUGAGACUCUGAAACCUGUUAAGCCACUGAGUGCUAGUGAUACACAUCGAUCCAUUCAUGGAUGUACAGAUUUGAGGGGGUCUGGUUCAUCUGUAGCCUAUUUACUUCAGUGACAAUGUAAAUUGUGCCUUAAGUUAAAUUAUUUCAAAAGUUUGAGGAUACUCUCGUUUCCAUAGCAGUAAUAUGGAUUGCUCAUUUGUCUUAAUGUUUAGUUUUUGAAUAAAGAUCAAUUGAAAAAAUGGAA